Erinaceus europaeus (western European hedgehog) is the source of this 546-nucleotide long non-coding RNA. RefSeq lists it as uncharacterized. The record is from RefSeq and is a predicted model, not a curated record. The transcript is spliced from 3 exons. Lineage: Eukaryota; Metazoa; Chordata; Mammalia; Eulipotyphla; Erinaceidae.
CCUGAUCUCCUACACAGACAUCACUAUUCAGCCUACUCUUCUGUCAGUCUUGACUCCUGUCUCUGGAGUUAUGUACAUCAUGGAGACAGCAACUACAUGAGCAAUAGUAACCGGUUUCCCUCCUUGUGGUCUUGGAGGGAAGUCAUGGACUCCACCAGCUCUGAACCUCUGAAAGGAUUACCGGAGUGUUUUGUACACUGGCUUAUGUCACUGAGUGUGUUUACUCUGCUGAUUGCAAAAGCUCUCCAGAGUAAGACAAGAGGCAAGAAAAGUCAAGUUCAAGUUUCUAUUUGCGGUCACUUCCUCCCCCCUCCCCCCCCCCUCGCAAGGAUUGAUGUAAUCCGGGCCAGGCCCCGCCCGCCGCCCCUGACUGUUUCAAACCAACUCAGUUCACCGGAUUGGUUCUGCUUCAAAACAAAGAGGAGGGGUAAUACUCGCGAUGGGCACACCAGUAGUUCACAGGCAGCAAGGCUGGUUUAUGGGUUCGGGGCUCGUGUCGGGGCCACUGUGGUGCCGUGGGCUGCUAAAACCAGCCCCCGGAGGGUG